This 1332-nucleotide ribosomal RNA is filed under the name uncultured bacterium. RNAcentral's name for it is "bacterial SSU rRNA". It matches the Rfam family "Bacterial small subunit ribosomal RNA", at positions 28 to 1381 of the family's 1533-position model. The record is from RNAcentral.
GACGAACGCUGGCGGCGCGCCUAACACAUGCAAGUCGAACGAGCGAGAGAGAGCUUGCUUUCUCGAGCGAGUGGCGAACGGGUGAGUAACGCGUGAGGAACCUGCCUCAAAGAGGGGGACAACAGUUGGAAACGACUGCUAAUACCGCAUAAGCCCACGGGUCGGCAUCGACCAGAGGGAAAAGGAGCAAUCCGCUUUGAGAUGGCCUCGCGUCCGAUUAGCUAGUUGGUGAGGUAAUGGCCCACCAAGGCAACGAUCGGUAGCCGGACUGAGAGGUUGAACGGCCACAUUGGGACUGAGACACGGCCCAGACUCCUACGGGAGGCAGCAGUGGGGAAUAUUGCACAAUGGGGGAAACCCUGAUGCAGCGACGCCGCGUGGAGGAAGAAGGUCUUCGGAUUGUAAACUCCUGUUGUUGGGGAAGAUAAUGACGGUACCCAACAAGGAAGUGACGGCUAACUACGUGCCAGCAGCCGCGGUAAAACGUAGGUCACAAGCGUUGUCCGGAAUUACUGGGUGUAAAGGGAGCGCAGGCGGGAAGACAAGUUGGAAGUGAAAUCUAUGGGCUCAACCCAUAAACUGCUUUCAAAACUGUUUUUCUUGAGUAGUGCAGAGGUAGGCGGAAUUCCCGGUGUAGCGGUGGAAUGCGUAGAUAUCGGGAGGAACACCAGUGGCGAAGGCGGCCUACUGGGCACCAACUGACGCUGGGGCUCGAAAGUGUGGGUAGCAAACAGGAUUAGAUACCCUGGUAGUCCACACCGUAAACGAUGAUUACUAGGUGUUGGAGGAUUGACCCCUUCAGUGCCGCAGUUAACACAAUAAGUAAUCCACCUGGGGAGUACGACCGCAAGGUUGAAACUCAAAGGAAUUGACGGGGGCCCGCACAAGCAGUGGAGUAUGUGGUUUAAUUCGACGCAACGCGAAGAACCUUACCAAGUCUUGACAUCCCUUGACAGACAUAGAAAUAUGUGUUCUCUUCGGAGCAAGGAGACAGGUGGUGCAUGGUUGUCGUCAGCUCGUGUCGUGAGAUGUUGGGUUAAGUCCCGCAACGAGCGCAACCCUUAUGGUCAGUUACUACGCAAGAGGACUCUGGCCAGACUGCCGUUGACAAAACGGAGGAAGGUGGGGAUGACGUCAAAUCAUCAUGCCCUUUAUGACUUGGGCUACACACGUACUACAAUGGCGUUAAACAAAGAGAAGCAAGACCGCGAGGUGGAGCAAAACUCAGAAACAACGUCCCAGUUCGGACUGCAGGCUGCAACUCGCCUGCACGAAGUCGGAAUUGCUAGUAAUCGUGGAUCAGCAUGCCACGGUGAAUACGUUCCCGGGCCU